GACGAACGCUGGCGGCGUGCUUAACACAUGCAAGUCGAACGGAAAGGCCCUGCUUUUGUGGGGUGCUCGAGUGGCGAACGGGUGAGUAACACGUGAGUAACCUGCCCUUGACUUUGGGAUAACUUCAGGAAACUGGGGCUAAUACCGGAUAGGAGCUCCUGCUGCAUGGUGGGGGUUGGAAAGUUUCGGCGGUUGUGGAUGGACUGGCGGCUUAUCAGCUUGUUGGUGGGGUAGUGGCUUACCAAGGCUUUGACGGGUAGCCGGCCUGAGAGGGUGACCGGCCACAUUGGGACUGAGAUACGGCCCAGACUCCUAUGGGAGGCAGCAGUGGGGAAUAUUGCACAGUGGGCGGAAGCCUGAUGCAGCAACGCCGCGUGCGGGAUGACGGCCUUCGGGUUGUAAACCGCUUUCGCCUGUGACGAAGCGUGAGUGACGGUAAUGGGUAAAGAAGCACCGGCUAACUACGUG
Molecule: ribosomal RNA, 468 nt
Filed under: uncultured bacterium
Lineage: Bacteria
Description: partial 16S ribosomal RNA
Rfam family: Bacterial small subunit ribosomal RNA
Source: RNAcentral